RNAcentral lists this transfer RNA (71 nucleotides) under Mus musculus (house mouse). Its description in RNAcentral is "tRNA-Ser". Lineage: Eukaryota; Metazoa; Chordata; Mammalia; Rodentia; Muridae. The record is from RNAcentral.
AGAUGGCUCAGUGGUUAAGAGCACUGACUGCUCUUCCAAAGGUCCUGAGUUCAAUUCCCAGCAACCAUCUG